UGGCCUCUCAGAGUGCUGAGAUUACAGGCUGUAGUAAGAGCUGAGGUGGAUGAAGACAGGUCCUCUAGAGCAACGAUCCCAAUGAUCCUGACCAAGCAUCAGAACACCGGGCAGGUCUUUAACCGGAGGGCUGCCUCCACUGUUGAUGUAGUUCAUCCAGCAGGUCUGGGCGGUGCCGAAAAUCUGCAUCUCUGACAGAUUCCCAGCUGAUGCUGACACUGCUGCUUUAGGGACCUUGGCAGGGCUCCUCAGUGAGUCACUGAAAGAAACAGCCUCUCCUUACCUCUGGGACUUUCACAGCAGAUUAGAAAUUCCACAGUCUGGAAGCUCUGAGCCUAAGAAGAAACAACUCGGGGAAACACCAUGCCUACAAAUCAGGCUCAGCAUUGGGGCUGCAGACUUUCAAGUAUGCCAGGUGAUUCUGGUGCCCUGGUCCUGGAACCAUACUUUGAGAACGCCUUAGGUGGUCCCUCGGGAGUCCUGUUGACAAAUACAAUCUCCUCUUCCUCCUCCCAGUUGUUCCCUUGGCCACGUUACCAGCUUCCAAGCACACUUUCACUUUGAAGGGAUAUUUGGUGGAAUUCUCCCAACUCUUUCUUUUCUCCUUCUAGACCCAUUUUCAUCUUCUGAAAUUGUCUGAGUAACUAGCAUAAGAUCAUAUGCUCUAAAGGAUCAUAUUUCCUGCCCCAAAAUGCGGGUCACUGCUGGGCAUCGUGGCACAGGCUAUAAUACCAGCUCUUAGGAGGCAGAGGCAGGAGGAUUGCCAUGCU
This is a long non-coding RNA of Fukomys damarensis (Damara mole-rat), 770 nucleotides long. RefSeq lists it as uncharacterized. The transcript has 3 exons. The record is from RefSeq and is a predicted model, not a curated record. Lineage: Eukaryota; Metazoa; Chordata; Mammalia; Rodentia; Bathyergidae.